RNAcentral lists this ribosomal RNA (429 nucleotides) under uncultured bacterium. RNAcentral describes it as "bacterial SSU rRNA". It matches the Rfam family "Bacterial small subunit ribosomal RNA", at positions 355 to 775 of the family's 1533-position model. The record is from RNAcentral.
UGGGGAAUUGUUCGCAAUGGGCGCAAGCCUGACGACGCAACGCCGCGUGGAGGAUGAAGACCUUCGGGUCGUAAACUCCUUUCGACCGAGAUGAAUUCCCGCCGAUCUAAUACAUUGGCGGGUUGACAGUAUCGAGGGAAGCAGCCCCGGCUAACUCCGUGCCAGCAGCCGCGGUAAUACGGGGGGGGCAAGCGUUGUUCGGAAUUACUGGGCGUAAAGGGUCGGUAGGUGGCCAACUAAGUCAGACGUGAAAUCCCUCAGCUUAACUGGGGAACUGCGUCUGAGACUGGAUGGCUCGAGUGCAGGAGAGGAAUGCGGAAUUCCAGGUGUAGCGGUGAAAUGCGUAGAUAUCUGGAGGAACACCGGUGGCGAAGGCGGCAUUCUGGACUGCAACUGACACUGAACGACGAAAGCCAGGGGAGCAAACGG